UUUUUCAAGAGAAAAAAAAAACCAAAAACUCUUUCUUUCCCCCUUUUCAUUUUCAUUUCUCUGAAACAAACCUCUCUCUCACCAAGUUCAAGUGAGAAAGCUCAUGUUUCGCCCUCUGAGUACUCGUCCCCCUCCUUUUUUCCAUGGCCUAAACGAGAAACCUGAGGGGUUUCGUGGCCCUCUUGGAUUGGGGAAUCUCCAAUGGGGGCGGGACGCGAAGAAUAGGUAAGUUUUCAGCCCCUCUUUUGUUUUUUAUUUUUAUUUUUUUAAAAGAUUUAACACAGAAAAUAAAAAAAUCUAAAGAAAGAAAAAAAAACCAAGGAAAGAAAAUAUGAAAACAACCUUUUUUGUUCUCUUUUUUAUUAAUAAUCUGUGUAAUACAACCCCUUUUUUGUAUUUGAAAACAAAACCCCUUUUUUGUUUAUUGAUUUGCAGUAAAUUUGAAAGGAAACUAAGAAGAAGUUAAAACGAAAUGAAAACAAAUAAAAUGAAAUCGAAGAUCCACCUUUUUGCGUUUUUUCUCUUGAUUGCUAAUGUUUUUUUUUUUUGGAUUUUUUUGCUGGAAUUUUUUGCUCUUUUUUUUUUCAAAUGGGAGAAUCCUCUUUUUUUUUUUUGUGUUCCUUUUUCGUUUCUACCGUUUUGCUUGUUUUUUUAUGCCAUUUGCAAGUAGUGGGUGAAGAAGGAACAACUAUCCAUGUUUUUGGCCUGAAAAUCUGGGAAGUGAGUGUCUCAAAUCACGUAAUCUGUCUGAAGGACCAAAUCACAAAUGCAACAAAACUUCUAGGGCUAAAUGUAAUUUUUAGAAAAUUUAGGGUUAAAAUGUAAUUUAAGGAAAGUUUAGGGGUCUAAGAUGUAAUUUUUUUAAAAUUUUUUAUUUUUUAUUUUAUUUUUUGAAAUUUUGGAACUUAAACACGAAUUCUAGUCGGACAAAAAUUUAGUGCUUACAAAAAGUAUUAAUAAUUAAAUUCAAAUUUUAAAAUUUAAAAAAAAAUAAGGGAUUAAAUUCCUCAAAUUAAAAUUAAUAUGACUAAAUUACAAAUGUAUAAAAGAACAUAGAAAUUUAGAUCAUAUUUUAGUUAAGUUCAAGUAUUAAUAUCAUUAAAAUUAUUUUAAUUUUAGAAUUUAAAAUUUUAAAAAUAUUGAAACUAAAUUUUAAAAUCUGAAAGAUAAAAUUUUAAAAAUUAAAUGUAUAAAUACUAAAUUAUAAAAUAUAUGAAAAGGACAAAAUUUUAGAACAUAUUUUUACUUUAACAAAAUGUUUUUUUUUUCCAACAUAAAUAUGAAAGGGACAAAAACCAAGAGACUACUAAAUAAAAGCCAGUUAAGAGCUUUGUCGGCAUUUAAUAUGUUGGGCUGUUGUUCCAAUUAUUUCAGACAUUUUCAUGGUACCUCUCUUGUAAUUAGGGGUGUAAUCUAGACGAGAAGAGUUUGAGUUAGAUUCGAAAUUUAGAAUAUAAUAUUUAGUUCAAUUUAGUUAAAUAUUUGUUUUUUAAAGAGUUUUUUAAAUUUGAGCUCGAUUCAGUUUAUUUAUUAAUUUUUGUAUUUCAACUCAAAUACGAACUCUAUUCAAUAAAAAUUUAGAGUUAAUAAUAUAAAAAUAUAAAAAGCUCGAUAAGACUUACAAGCCGUUUGAAUUAAAUAUUAUUAAGCUCGAAUUCGACGCAACUGAUAGCUCAAGCUACUCGAGUUCGAGGAACUUGCAGACACCCUUUCUCAUUUAUACCCUUACUUUCGUCCAGUUUAAUUAAUCUUCAACACUAAACUAAACAGCCAAAUCAUAUUUCUAAAUGAAUUUUAAAAAAAAUACAAACCAAAAAAAGCACUCUCUAUAUUUAUAUUUUUAUCAAUUUAAAUUUGAUUUUUUAUUUCCUCUAAAUUCGACUCGACUUUUUAAAAUCAAAUUGCUAUAUUUUUAACAAAAAUAUUGACAAAAUUAUUAUACUUUUAAUAGCAUUGAUAUAACACUAGGUGUGACAAUUUACAUUUAUUUUAUUUACUUUGAUACUUGCGAAGAUAUAUGAAUUGUUGUUAUAAAGGCAGUAAUUCAUGAGUUGGAUUGAGCCAUACUUUCAAAUAUUUUCGUAAAAAAAUUUCUCCAAUCCAGCUUAAUUUCGAUAUUAAGUAAAUUAGCCCCUUUCAAAAAAAUUAAAGCAAUUUAAUCCUUAUCAGUUUCAAAAGUGAACAACUAAGGACAAUUGAUCACAACAUUAAUAUUUUUCAACAAUUUUACAUAAAUUAGACUUGCAUAAUCACAAAUUUAGCUCUCAUAAUAUAUGAAUCUGAUUAUAAUUUAACAAAUUUAACCCCUAACAAUUUUGUAAAUGUGUAGAUGUAGAGGUUAAAUUUGUUGAAUUUUUUGGGAUCAAUACCAAAUUAACAAAAUAUGUAAACAACAAGGGCUAAAUUUGUUAUUAUAUCAAUCAGAAUUGUGCAAAUUGACGAAAGACAUUACCAACAUGAUUAAUUGUCUUUAAUUGCUCACUUUCAAAAUCGAAAUGGAUUAAAUCGCACCGACUUUUUUAAAGAAACUAAUUUACUCAAUUUCAAAAUUAAGAGGAGCUAGAGAAGUCUUUUUUACCCUAAUAUUUUUAUCUAAUUUUAGUUGGUCCAAUUUGAGAUCCUUUUAAAAAGAUGACCACUUUAUAGGAAAACCCCCCUUCAACAAGUCCAUUGUAUGGUCUUCCUUUUUUCAAUUCAAAUACUCUAAAAGAAAAAUGAUAACUACUUUAAUGGCGGCAUUGUAAUUCUCCCUAACUUCAAAGAAAAUGGAAGAAUUAAAUUUUGGGGGAAAAUUUUUCUCAAAUUUCUUAGCUAAUGGUUUUUGGACCAAAAAUAUCUAUGGGUCGGAUCGAGUCUAGUUCGAAUUUUCGAAGAAAAUUAUUCAAAUCCAACCUUCUAAUUAUUUUACCUUUUUUGAAUAUAUUAAUAUAUUAAAUUAUAUUUUUAUAUUAUUUUAAUUGAAUAAUAAUUCGUCUAUUUAUAUUAUUAUCAAAAUAUUUCUAGUUUGUUCCUCAAUUAGUAAAUAAUCCAACUACAUUCGAGUAGACCUACCUAUGGUCAAGCCAAACCUAGUUUUUAAAAAAAUUUCAAGCAUAACCUCAAUUUAAACCUAGUAGACCCAAUUUCAAAAAAAAAAAUUCUAAGCUUAAGCUCGUAUUUGACCUGAUUCGAUCCAAUGGCAAGUUCAAUUGUUACAUAUUAAUUAAAUAUUUUAUAUAUUAAUAUUUAUCUAUUUUAAAUAAAAUUCAAGUCUAACAAAAUUGAUUAAAAUUAAAAAAAAUUUAUUUAAACUCGAUCCAAACCAAACUCAUACUACACAUUAGUGAUUCGAGGAAAAUGCCACAGAAAUACUUUUUAGUAACAAAGUUGAGAUUAUUUUUUAUUUUUUAGAAUAAUAAAAAGUGAUAUUUCAAAUAAAGGAUUCAAUUCAAAUCCGUUAUAGAAAAAAGAGAUUAAUGGCAACCAAUAAAUAUUUCUUUAAAAUUCUAUUAAGAAUUAGGGCUUGAGAAUCUUGAAUAUUUAAUGCAGCCAUUUUAAUAUUUAUUAUUAUACCAAAGCAUUGCCUCAUUUUAUUUUCAUGCAAAAUAUCUUUACUUUUUUUUUUUGAAAUUUAGUCCCUAAAAUUUAUUGUUUUAAAAUCUUGAAAAUGUCAUACUUUUGCUUAUUGAAUGUACUUAAUGUCCUUUCUAUAAUUUUCUAACAAAAGAAGAUAAAAGAAAGUAGGGUAAAUUACACUUGUAGUCAUUUAACUAUUGGUAGGUUUCUUUUUUGAUCAUCUAAUUAUGAAAAGUAAUAAAAUGUUCACCCAAGUAUUUGAUUUUUUUUCUUUCUUCUCACCAACCGUUGAGUAACUGACGAAAAGAUGACGUGUAAGCUUUUAAAAUUGGCAUAAUAGCAACUUCAACCCUUAGCAUUUAUAUAUUAUGUCAAUUUAGUCUCAAUUUUAAAAAAAUUUAACCCUCAACGUUUACACAUUGUGUAAAUUGUUUUUUUUUUCAAUUUUUACUUUUCUUUGUGACUCUUUCACUUAAAAAGCUAAAAAAAUAAAUUUAUCGACUAAAUUUGAUCGAAAAUAUACCAAAAAUCCAAGAUAAUAAUCUUUAUUUUUUUCUCAUUCUUUUCUCGAUGUUACGAGAGAGAGAGAGAGAGAGAGAGAGAGAGAGAGAGACCAAAUUACACAAUGUGUAAAUGUUGAGGGUUAAUUUUUCCGAAUCAAGACUAAAUUGACACAAUGUAUAAGUGUAUAGGGUUAAAGUUGUUAUUUGUCAAUUUUAAAAGCUGUCAAGAUAUCUUUCUGUUAAUAAUUUAACGGUUGGUAACCAGAAAUCUAAUGCCCCUUAACCCUUAUCCGUCGCCAAAACAGGGUUACGGAGCAUUACUAGACAUUCCAGAACAAAUAUGAACAAUCAUAUAAUAAUAUAACAUAAAGUCCCUUUAUUGAGACUUUGAGACCCAAAUCACGAGUUAGAAACAAAUAGGGACUUAAUCGGAAGUCUAGAAAAUUUUUCGUAAAAUUUUAAAAUUUUUCGUAAAAUUUUAAAAUUUUUCUUAAGUACAGGGCCCACACGCCCGUGUGGUAAUACAUGAGCAUUUUGUUUUGAAAAUUAAAAGUUGCAGAGGACACAUGGCCUAUCUACACGCCAUGUAUAACCGUAUGUCUCACACGGUCUGGUCACAAGCCCGUAUGCCCGGCCGUGUGGACUCAAAAUGAGCCUUAUUUAUUAAGUUUACUAACCCUGCAAAUCUUGAACAACGAGCAAUUCAAAAUCCAAUUGUUCAAUCAAUUCAAAACACAUUCAAACACAUCUAAAACAUGUCAAAUAAUCAACCUAAUGACUUAACCAAUGUACUAACAUAGGUAUUUUAGAAAUACUUACUAAUUUAAUUCAUUUAACUUCAUUUAAACCAAUUCAAACUUUAUACGAAAUUUCUACCUAAAAUUUUGCAUAUGUUAAAUUCAUUCAUACUUCAACCAAAACAUGUCAUUUUGUAAUCUCAACUUAACUCAUAAACGUAUACAUAUAAUCAACUAAAAUCAUCUUAUAUCAUCACUUACAACCAUUUCUCAAAAUGGCAUACAUAUGACAACCUAGGUACAUGUCAUUCCCAAAGAAAUAUACUUCACCACUUUGAGUUCGUGAUCGGCUUUGGAUGCUGAGUCAACGAUCUAACUUUAACCUAACCUGCGCACGGAAACAAAUCGUAUGCUGAGUAUAAACUCAGUGGUAUUUCUAUAAUUUGAUUACUUUUAAAACAAAAUAAUUAAACAUGCACAUUUAAUUCAUACAAUUUCCAAAUCCAUUCAAUUAAUCAAUUUUAUUGUCAAUUCAUUUAUUUAUCCCUAUUAACACGAUUCAGAUUUUGGAGGAUACACAGAUCCAACCAAAACAAACCAAUAUGGCACCCCGUGUCUCAUCGGCCAUGUUGAAGUAAAUUGGUACCCAAUACCUCAUCAAAUUUAUCCAAAGUAAUAAUAUGACACCCAGUGUCUCAUCGACUCGUGGUCGAAGUAUCCCUGAACUCUUCCAACCCUAUGGCAUGCCAGCUAUAUCCGACUCAGCCCGGUACAGUUGAUAGGGUUUUCAAUUUCAAUUUCUCAAUUCAAUUUCAAUCAAAAUCCACACCAAUCACAAAUUCUCAUAAUUUCAAUUCAACUAUUUACAUAUGCUUAUAAAAUUCAAUUCCAUUCAAUUCAAUAUCACAAUAUCAAUUACUUACCUGAAUCUACUUACCAUACAAAUUAAGUAAUGAAUUUAACAAUUAAUUAUUAAAUUCAGAUUAUAGAAAUAAAAAUCGUAAUUUCCGAGCUAAUUUUCGUUGACUUUAUCUUUUCCUUUCCUAACUGAGGUCUCCGGCUCAACGUUUUGUACGGAAUUAAAAUAAAUGAAAAUCAUCAAUACAACAAAAUUUAACAUUGAACAUUUCAAUUUAUACACAAAUUUUGCCUAAAUUUCAAUUUAGUCCUUAAAUCAAACUAACUCUUUUUCUUACAAAACUAAUUCCAUAUCUCAAUUCAAUUUCCACUUUAAUCUAAUUUCAACUCCCUAAUUUCACCAUAAAACCAUAAUUUCAAAAUUCUCUCAAUUUAGUCUUAAUUACUUAAAACUUAUGAUUUAUUUUACAAUUCAAUCAUUUUCUCAAUUCUAACUUGAAUUUCUAUCAAUUUAAACCCUAAUUCUUCAAUUUAUUCAACAUGAACAACAUCUAAAAAUUCACUAAUUUUUAAAUUUUCAGCAUAAAUCAGAUAAUAUUUUGUUCUAAGAUUCCAAAAACAUAAAAAUUUCAAGAAAAUGAGCUAAAUUAACUUACCAAUUUGAGUUUGAACCUUGAAAUCCCGAAUUUCCCUUUUUCUUUUUCUUUCUAUUUUCUUUCUUUCUUUUUCGUGCCUUCCUCUGUUCUUGUUCUUCUUUUCCUUUUGUUUCUUUAUUUAUUUAUUUCAUGUUUCAUUUUAAUUAUAAUAAUAUAAUAAUAUUUACUUAAAUUAUAAGUUUAAUUUAUAUUUAAAUAUAUGUAUAUUAUUUAUACACAUGGAAAUUAUUUUUACCAUGUCAAUUUAUGGUUUAAUUGCUUAUUUAGUCUCUUGACUUUUCUCCAUUCUAUAAUUCAACUUUUAUCCUAUAUUCAAUCUAGUCUACCUAAUUUUUCUUAAUUCAAGCUAAUUCACCUAGCCAAAACCUAAUUAACCACACAACUAACUUCGUAAAUAUUUUUAAUAAAUAUUUACGAAUCUGGUUUACAAAAACGGAGACCCGAGAAUAUACUUUCUGAUAACCAUAAAUUUUGGGUCGUUACAUUUCUCCCCCACUUAAUAAAUUUUGUCCUUGAAAUUUACCUGAAAAUAGGUAGGGGUACUGAGAUCUCAGAGUUUCUUCCAGUUCCCAAGUUGCUUCUUCAAUACUAUGACUUCGCCACAACACCUUCACUAAGGGAACUCGUUUAUUUCAUAACUCUUUCAUCUCUCAAGCUAAUAUCUCAACUGGUUCCUCUUCAUAUGAUAACUUAAGUCGGAUUUCAAUAUCUUCUAUCAAAAUAACAUAAGAGGGAUCUGAUCUGUAUCUUCUGAGCAUGGAUACAUGAAAAACAUCAUGAAUCUUCUGUAAUUUUAGAGGCAAAGCUAAACAAUAGGCUACUAAUUCAACUCUUUCCACAAUCUCAUAUGGCUCAAUAAAACGAGGACUCAAUUUCCCUUCCUUUCGACCAAAUCUCAAGAUUUUCUUCCAAGGUGAAACUUUAAGAAAUACCUUAUCACCAACAGAAUACUCAAUGUAUUGACAUUUCAAAUCUGCAUACAACUUUUGUCUGUAUAAAGCUGCCUUCAAUCUAUCUCGAAUCUUCUUAACAAUGUGCUCCAUUUCUUGAAUUAACUCUGGCCCAAUCAUUUUUCUUUCAUUCAAUUCCAUCCAACAAACAGGUGAUCAACAUCUACAACCAUAUAGAGCUUCAUACAGAGCCAUUUGAAUACUUGAUUGGAAACUAUAAUUAUAUACAAAUUCAGCUAACGAUAAAUAAUAUUCUCAACCUGAUUCAAAAUCAAUGACACAAGCACGAAGCAUAUCUUCCAAAAUCUGAAUAACUCUCUCAGAUUGCCCAUCAGUCUGCAGAUGGAAAGCUGUACUAAAGUUGAGUCGAGUACCAAGUAAUUCAUGCAACUGUCUCCAAAAUCUUGAUAUGAAUCGUGGAUCCCGAUCAGAGAUUACUGAUAUAGGAAAACCAAGAAAUCUUACAAUUUCUCGAAUAUAAACUUCAGUAAGUUUCUGGAGUGACCAAUCAGUUAUGACAGCUAUGAAGUGAGCCGAUUUUGUAAGCUAAUCAACAAUCACCCAAAUAGCAAUUUUCUUAUUUGCUGACAAUGGUAACCCCGUUACAAAAUCCAUCAUAAUACAAUCUCAUUUCCAUUCAGGAAUAUUAAUAGGAUGAAGUAAUCCAGUAGGAACCUGAUGUUCUGCCUUAACUCGUUGACAUGUCAAGCAUUUAGCCACGUACUCAACUAUAUCUUUUUUCAUACCUGACCAUCAAUAAGAUUCUCGUAGCUUACAGUACAUUUUCAUUCCUUCGGGAUACAUUGCAAAAGGAUUGUCAUGUGCUUCACAAAGUAUGAACUCUUUCAAUUAAAAACAACUGGAACACAAAUCCGAUUGCGAAAUCUCAGACAAUCAUGUUCAUCAAUGCUGAAAUUCUCUAACAUACCAUUCUGAACCAUUUCUCUUUUUUUCAUCAACUUGUCAUCUUCUAACUGUGCUGACCUGAUCUAAUCAAACAUCAUCGUUUUAACUUUUAAUUCAGCCAAUAAGUUUCCAUCAUCAUUGAUACUAAGUUGAGCAAACAUUACUCGUAAUUCAAUCGCUACCUUUCUACUUAAUGCAUCAGCUACAACAUUUGUCUUUCCCGGGUGAUAAUCAAUAACACAAUCAUAAUAUUUUAAAAGCUCUAUCUACCGACGUUGUCUCAGAUUUAACUAUUUUAGAGAUAAAAAGAUACUUAAGACUUUUACAAUAGGUAUAAAUAUAGCAUUUCUCACCGUACAAGUAAUGUCUCAAUAUCUUUAGUGUAAAAAUAACGGCAGCUAGUUCCAGAUCGUACGUCGAGUAAUUACGUUUAGGUGGUUUCAAUUGACGAGAUGCAUAAGCUAUCACAUUUCCAUCAUACAUCAAAACACACCCGAGACCAUUCAAAGAAGCAUCACUAUAAAUAACAAAAUCCUUUUCCGAUUUUGGUAAUGUCAAAACUGGUGCUUCAGUUAACAUUUGUUUUAAUUUCUCAAAACUUUUCUAGCACUGAUCAUCCCAGAAAAAUGGAGUAUUCUUUUACAACAAAUUUGUCAUUGGAAAAGCUAUCUUUGAAAAUCCAUUUACCAAUUUUUGGUAGUAACUAGCCAAUCCCAAAAAACUACGUACCUCUGAUACACUUCACGGCGCUUUCCACUGAACUAUUGCUUCAAUUUUCUUUGGAUCAACUCUAAUUCCAUAUGCCGAUACCACAUGUCUCAAAACACAACUUCUAAUAGCCAGAAUUCACAUUUGCUAAGCUUUCCAUACUGUUUCUCCCAUAAUAUUUGCAAAACAAUUCUGAGGUGCUGCUCAUAUAUAGAUUUAGACUUUGAAUAGACCAGAAUAUCAUCAAUGUAAACCGCCACAAACUAAUCCAGGUAUAGUUGAAAAAUACGGUUCAUAAGAUUCAUAAAAGCAACUGGAUCAUUUGUUAAUCCAAAAGGCAUUACUAAAAAUUCAUAAUGGUCAUACUGUGUACGAAAUGCUAUCUUCGGUACAUCACUUUCUUUUACUUUCAACUGGUAGUAACUCGAUCUCAAAUUAAUCCUCGAAAACACAGAAGCUCCUUUCAACUGGUCAAAUAGAUCAUCAAUACGAGGUAAAGGGUAUUGAUUCUUAAUUUUCACCUUAUUCAAUUACCGAUAAUUUAUACACAACCGCGUUGAACUGUCUUUCUUUUUAACAAACAACACUGGAGCUCCCUAAGGUGAAAUACUAGGUCGUAUAAAUCCUCAAUCCAGUAAAUCCUAAAACUACACUUUUAAUUCUUUUAGCUUGGUAGGCGACAUACGAUAUGGGGGUAUUGAUAUUGGAGCUGUACCAAGAUAAACUUCUAUUGCAAAUUCGACUUCCUGAUCUGGUGGUAAUCCCGACAAUUCUUUAGGAAAAAACAUCAGGAAAUUCACAAACAGUUCUGAUUUUACUGCAUUGACUUUCAACAGAAUCUUAAUUAAUAACAUAUGCCAAAAAAGCUACACAACCCUGAUGAAGAAGUUUAUUAGCCUGAAUUGUUGAAAUAAUAUGAGUUGACCCAUUGCUUCGAAUACCAUUUACCUCAAUUUUGUCACCACUUUUACUCUGAACAAUAAACUUCUUUUUACAACAGUCCAAAUUUACCCCAUGCUCAGUAAGCCAAUCCAUUCCCAGAAUUAUAUCAAAAUCGCCAUAUUGUAAUAUUAACAACUCAACAAGAAAAAUUAUGUUUUGUAUCAUUAGAUGAUACUUCUUACACACCUGAUCCACUCACACAGUUUGCCCCAAUGGACUAGACACUGCUAUUGAUACUCUAGAUGUUUCAAAUUUUAAAUUUCCCGACUCAACCAAUUUUGUAUUAACAUAUGAAUGUGAAGAUCCCAGAUCUAUUAAAGCAUAAACAGGUUCUGAAUGCAAAAAAAAUAUACCUGUCACCACAUCAUGUGCAUCACCCUUUUCAUGGAUCCGUACAACAUAUACUCAAGCUGGUACUCUGGCUUCUGAUUGUUGAGAAGCAACAUCACUUCCUCUUCUAGCACCACAUCUGGAAAAUGAACCACUUCUAUUUGAUCCUCAACCUCUAAAAGUAGGCACUAAUCUCUGAGAUAUAACAGGUGUAGCAUUCUCAUUUUUUGGCCAAUCCAUAAUAAAAUGCUCUGUCGAUCCACAAAGGAAACACCCUCUAGUCAAUUUUCAGCAUUCACCUCUAUGUUUUUUCCCACAAUGUUCACAAUUCGAAAUUUCAAUAUCCCAUGAUGGACUUCGUACACUACCAGUAGAAACUGUCAUCUAUCUUUCAUGAUUUCUAUCAUCUCUAUCUGAUUUGAAACUCGAUCUCCAACUACCUCGAGAUUUUUUGAUCUUUUAGGUUGCAAAUUCGAACUAGUAGCUCCGAAACGUUUCCCAAAUGGAUGAAUAUUUUCAAAAUUUUUUUCAAGACCCAGUACUUGUUCAACCAUUUUUGCUCUCUCAACCAAAUCCACAAAUUUAAUGAUUCUGUGAUAUACCAAUUGCACCCUUAAUUCAUCAUGUAAACCCCGUAGAAACCUCUUACAAUUGUUAGUUUCGGUUGGUAUAAAUUCAACUGCAUAUUUACUGAUUCGUGAAAAUUCUCGUUCAUAAUCAACUACAGACAUAUUACCUUAUUUUAGCAUCAAAAACUCAUGUUUUCUAUCUUCAAUGUAUAAUUCACCCACAUACUUCUUCUUAAAUUCUCUUUAAAAGAAAUCCCAGUUUAUCUGUUCUGUUAGUACAUUUCGAGUUACUAACUCCUACCAUACAUAAGCUUCCCCUUGUAAUAAAGAAACAGCACACAAUAAACUUUCCCUGGGAGUGCAUUCAAGUUGUUGCAGAAUUCUUUUUGUAAACUCCAUCCAACUUUCAGUAGUAGAUUGAUCAACUCCCUUUAACCCCAGAAAUUUAGUGGCACCAUACUUACGCAGUUCUUUAAUUGAGGCUCGUCGAGUAAUAGGGGCAGACGUCACAAUAGGUACAGUUCCUGCUAAUCGUUGAAGGGCAUCAGCUAUAACCCUAAGUAAGUGCGAAUCAUAUCUCUCUCUAGUAUUACCCCAUUCAAUAUUAGGUGGUUAAUUUCUUACUGAAUUUACACGCGGUAUUACUGACUUGGUUUUAUCUCUUUCAUAUGAUUCAUCAUCUCCAGUAUACAUUUAUUGAUCAGUAUCAACAAUAUAUUCAUCUGACAUCUUUAACUACAAAACAUAAAUACACAAAUAUAUCAGCAUCCAAUCUCGACUUUGUAACACCCCAAAAAUGUUCUUUUUGGUUUUAUGAAAUUGUGACACACAAGUGUGUAUCUGCUUCAGUGGUUAAGUAUUUUGGGGGUGUGUUUGAGGUCCUAAGUUCAAGACAUGACUUAUAAAUUUUAGUAUUUUUAUGAAUAAAACCCAAUCUUUGGUUGUUAGGCUUUUAAAUAAAAGAUGGUAAGUAAUUGACAGAAUGGGCUUGCUAGUCUGGUGGUAAAGUGGAGUGUUGGUGUGUUUGGGGUCCUAUGUUUGAAUCCCUGCGUGAGCAUGGAAGAUAUUUUUGCUCCAAUUUUCUGCUGGGGAUGUGUAAAACUGGGUUUCUGAGUAGUUGGAGGUUAGUGGGAGUAGUGGUGAGAUAAUUAGGGGAUUUGGGGAUUCUAUCAAUUUUUUUUGCUAAUUUCGGUUCAUUCAAAAUUCCAUUCUCUUUUCCCCAAAAUUUCUUUCAUCGUUCUGACAUUUAUUCAUCCAUUUUCUGCCGAAUUUCACUGUUUCCUCCCUCUUUUCUUUUGAUUUCUUUUAUUCCCUCAUUGUGUUUGACGAUUGAACUCACGCGGUUCGAUAAGUAUUGGUUAAGAGGUUUGUUUCUUUUGUUAACUUUCCUCUAAAGUGUAUUGUUUAUGUCAUUUAAGAGAGGAUUCAAGGGCUCGUAAUCACCCAUUGGAGUGUUAGUUUGUGUGGGAACUGCUGAUCUUCAACUUAAAGUAAGGAUUGGCCAUUUUUUUAGUAAAAACCUCGAUUCGAGUUUGAUUCUAGAUCGCAUUAUAAUGGAUUAAAUUAGUGUUAUUUGUUCAACUAUAGGUUUUGGAGUGCUCAGGAACUGUUUUUGCAUAGAUAGAAACCAGGUGUGUACCCGAAAACGUAAAAAAUGAGGUUCCAAUAAAAGCCGAAAAUAAUUCUAUCGACGUUACACGGCCGUGUGGUACACCGUGUGAUGGAACAUAGGCAUGUGAUCGUAGGCUGUGUGCGACACACGGUCUAAACCAAUUUGGGUCGUAUGGGCCACAGGGGCAGACCACAUGAGCGUGUGAGCCCAUGUUUCUGAAAAGUUGUUUAAGGUUACACGGGUCGCCUAAGUCUACUGUGGACCUACUGAAGGGUCGGUAAGCGCUACUUAGACCCUUAUAUGAGUGACCUGUCUAUCUGAUUUUUGUAUCGAGUAUGAAUUAUGAUAUACGAAUGUAUGUACCGUAAUUGUAUAAUAAUAUGACUUUUUUUUUGGUAUGUUGCGUUGUAUCGGGGGUGGGUUAUUGAUGAUAUUUGGAGGAAGUGUCUGAAAGGCUAUUAAGCCUGUUAUCUAGCAGCUCUACUGCAAAUUUCUGAUUAUUGUGCCGCAUUUCGAUACAGUAUGGUGUGUAGGGAUGGGUGAGUCGAUUUAAUCCCCACAUUGUGUGUAGGGAUAGACGGAGAUGGUGUGUAGAGGCUUGUAGGUAGGAUUCUGAUUUCUGCUAUUGCAUAUUGUAUCUAAAAUGGGCCACGAUCCUAAAUUAUAUCUGAGACUAUAUCCGAAUGGGCUAAAGCCCAAAUUGAAUCUGUAAUGGGCUUAAGCCUAGUCUGUAUUUGACUAUGUUCUGAUGUGUUUCUGAUUGCAUGUUUUCUGUGGGGAUUACACGCUAAGUAGCAAAAACUCACCCUUUCUGUUCAAUCUGUACAGGUAAUCCUCAGACUUGACGGAUCAGUGCAACGGAGGACUCGACGGUGGCCACACAUAAAUUUUAUGCUAUUUCUGUUAAUUUCAGAUUUUAUUACUUAUUUGGGAGUUUGAUGUAACUUAUGGAAUUUGGACUGUCUCGCUUUAAAUUUUCGGUUUCUUAGUUGGUUUUAUGAUUAUUACUGCUAGGCAUGAUAAAACUCAUUUUUUCACUAAGAUCAAACGGUUUUUCUAGAAUAAAUAUUUUUUUCAAAGCUUCCGCUA
This 13415-nucleotide long non-coding RNA is filed under the name Gossypium barbadense (sea-island cotton). RNAcentral describes it as "long non-coding RNA (GBAR_LNC001059)". The record is from RNAcentral. Lineage: Eukaryota; Viridiplantae; Streptophyta; Magnoliopsida; Malvales; Malvaceae.